Molecule: ribosomal RNA, 460 nt
Filed under: uncultured bacterium
Lineage: Bacteria
Description: partial 16S ribosomal RNA
Rfam family: Bacterial small subunit ribosomal RNA
Source: RNAcentral
CCUACGGGAGGCAGCAGUGAGGAAUAUUGGUCAAUGGGCGUAAGCCUGAACCAGCCAAGUCGCGUGAGGGAUGAAGGUUCUAUGGAUCGUAAACCUCUUUUAUAAGGGAAUAAAGUGCGGGACGUGUCCCGUUUUGUAUGUACAUUAUGAAUAAGGAUCGGCUAACUCCGUGCCAGCAGCCGCAGUAAUACGGAGGAUCCGAGCGUUAUCCGGAUUUAUUGGGUUUAAAGGGUGCGUAGGCGGCCUUUUAAGUCAGCGGUGAAAGUCUGUGGCUCAACCAUAGAAUUGCAGUUGAAACUGGGAGGCUUGAGUAUGUGUGAGGCAGGCGGAAUGCGUGGUGUAGCGGUGAAAUGCUUAGAUAUCACGCAGAACCCCGAUUGCGAAGGCAGCUUGCCAAGCCAUGACUGACGCUGAUGCACGAAAGCGUGGGGAUCAAACAGGAUUAGAUACCCCUGUAGUC